AAGUUUGUAGUUGGAAAAUAGGUUCAUUUUCCAGCCAGUGGCAAUGAAGGCCUGUCACAGAUCUGCUGAAUGCAGUGGGAAAAAAGUGGUAAGCCUGUAUGCAUUCACACAUCUGUAGAGGGAAUGAAAUAGACUUCCAUUAUCUGGAAGUCCACAAGUUGCCCACCCUUGCACCAGUCAGAUAAAAUAUCUUUGCCAGUAGCUGUAAAUUAUGAACUGGAAUUAAAAUUAGGCUAUAAUCCUAAACAGGCUUAUUUGAAAGUUGACUCAUAUAAUGCAAGGAAAUUAUGAUUAGGAUGGAAACACUCAUGUGCAAUAUGGUGUUAUUGCUUUUUCAGAAAUCUAACCGAGCUUGCCAGUGCCACCCCAACAACCAUUAUUAAGAGCUACAGUUACCAGCCUUGCUGUGCUGUUGUAUUAUUUAACAGCAAAGUGUAAACAUGUGAAAAUAUGACUCAAUUCUUUUUUGCAUUUUUCAUAUUUAAAGUCUAAGCUUCCUAAAUGAAUGUAAACAAAGUGAUUUACACUUUGAUUUACACUUACCCACAAUAGAAGAGGACAACACAGAGGUAAGCCAAGACUCCCUGUACUUUUACUGAACUUGUUACAACUCUGAUGAGCUAAAAAAGGAAACAUGUGUUAAAAUGACAGAGGCAUACUUCAACAGAGGUUCAGAAAGUUGAUAAAAAGGGAGUUGUAACUAGCAUGCAGCAAAAAAUAAAGUAUUUGUACAUACUAAAUGAUUUAAAAUCAUUUGUGAUAUUUAGUAAAUAAUUAUUUAAACGAUUAUUUUCUACAAAAUUUGCAUCACCACAUGUAAUAUAACCAUUUUUUAAAAUGAUUUUUAACCAUUUUUUAAAAUGGGCAAUGGCAGACUGUUCCCAGCUCCUCCUUUUUCAGAUAAAAAUGAUCCUUACUAUCUUUAUCUACUGAUCCAGUGCAGCCUCUGUGGCUGGUAAGCAACUUCUGGCUUAUGCUGAUUAAGCCAUAAAUAAGGCAAUGGCCAAAGGCAGGCAAGAGCAGCAUGGGGAAAAUUUACAUGCAAGACAAGUUAGGGACUAAUAGGAAGGUGCAAACACUCUCUUAACAGCCACUUUUAAGACAUUUACACUGGUCCUGAGUGGUGCUCAUUCAGUAUAAGUACUGACCAGAAACUUAUGACUGCUUUUACAUGCAGCUCAACUUUUUAUUCAAAUGCUAUUUUAAGAACUGUUGAUUUUAAAGGCAACAGUCACUUCUUUUAUCUAAUUUUAUGUCUGUAUUUUUACUAAUUAUCUAUUAUUCCUAUUUAUUGUUAUUGUUUAUGGACUGUUUUGAUUGUUAUGUGAUUUUAAUGUUGUAAGUCGUCCUGAGACAUUGUAAUAAAGGACAGCAUAUAAAUGUUUUAAACAAACAAACAACCUCCUUUUCUCAACCAUCACCAUCUACAGAACCUCCCCAUAUGCACUUUGGGUACGACUUCUUGAAUUAAAGCAAGGACUUUCAAACCAGCCCCUCAUGGAACAGGAGAAGGCAGCUGCUGCUUUAGAUCAGAAGCAAGGGAUUGUUUAGGAGAAGAGUAACCACUUACAUUUUUCUGUCGACUGCUAACAAGGUCAAAGGCAAGGCUGGCUCUGUAUUCACUGUAGACCUGAGAAGACAGUUCCUAUCAGCAACUCAAUCAUGAUUGUUACAAACUUUAAUUAAAAAUUAAAGUUAGAACUCUGCAUGCCUGGUACCAUA
Varanus komodoensis (Komodo dragon) is the source of this 1722-nucleotide long non-coding RNA. RefSeq lists it as uncharacterized. Lineage: Eukaryota; Metazoa; Chordata; Lepidosauria; Squamata; Varanidae. The record is from RefSeq and is a predicted model, not a curated record. The transcript has 2 exons.